Molecule: ribosomal RNA, 253 nt
Filed under: uncultured bacterium
Lineage: Bacteria
Description: partial 16S ribosomal RNA
Rfam family: Bacterial small subunit ribosomal RNA
Source: RNAcentral
UACGGAGGGGGCUAGCGUUGUUCGGAAUUACUGGGCGUAAAGCGCGCGUAGGCGGCUUUGUAAGUUAGAGGUGAAAGCCCGGAGCUCAACUCCGGAACUGCCUUUAAGACUGCAUCGCUAGAAUUGUGGAGAGGUGAGUGGAAUUCCGAGUGUAGAGGUGAAAUUCGUAGAUAUUCGAAAGAACACCAGUGGCGAAGGCGACUCACUGGACACAUAUUGACGCUGAGGUGCGAAAGCGUGGGGAGCAAACAGG